RNAcentral lists this unclassified non-coding RNA (594 nucleotides) under Hevea brasiliensis (rubber tree). The record is from RNAcentral. Lineage: Eukaryota; Viridiplantae; Streptophyta; Magnoliopsida; Malpighiales; Euphorbiaceae.
AAGCUGUAAUGCAUAGACACUUGAAACAAUUUAUAUAAAAAGAAACUAACAAGGGCAUUCGAGUACUCAGGCUUCUAAGAGUCCGGGUAGGUUCAUCUACUGUACUAAUUCCAUCCCAAGAUAUUAAAAGGAAAAAAAAUCCUCCUCAGCUUUGGUAUGAAUACAUUCUAGACCAUAGUAUCCUUUAUAAAGAAUAAAAUCAAUAAGCAUGAUAGGAAAAGAAUCAAUAACCCAAAAAAAAAUCAACAGCAGGAUAGAACGAUGCUAAAAGUUCCCCUAAAUAGAGUAAAAGAUAUAGGAGAUGACACAAAACAAAUUAAAAAAGAAAAAAGAAAAGACAGAAGGCAAGCAAAUCACCAGAAUCAAUACAAAACAAAAAGGCCAAAGCAUCUCCCUCACAAACAUAUCAAGCAAAUCUUCAACCAUACCAACAUGCCUACAAUCCAUUAAUUAGGCUUAAAACCACUGUUAAAACCCACAAAAUAGUACCAAAUAUUUACCUAAAAAAAGAUUUUAACAAGAAACUUUAUUUUUUAUUUUAAUAUUUUUCUUGAUAUCUUCAAGCAGAUAGCCAUACAUCUAAAGCAACUCCGA